RNAcentral lists this ribosomal RNA (583 nucleotides) under Enterococcus avium. RNAcentral describes it as "bacterial SSU rRNA". It matches the Rfam family "Bacterial small subunit ribosomal RNA", at positions 83 to 653 of the family's 1533-position model. The record is from RNAcentral. Lineage: Bacteria; Bacillati; Bacillota; Bacilli; Lactobacillales; Enterococcaceae.
GAAAGAAAAGGAGUGGCGAACGGGUGAGUAACACGUGGGUAACCUGCCCAUCAGAAGGGGAUAACACUUGGAAACAGGUGCUAAUACCGUAUAACAAUCGAAACCGCAUGGUUUCGGUUUGAAAGGCGCUUUUGCGUCACUGAUGGAUGGACCCGCGGUGCAUUAGCUAGUUGGUGAGGUAACGGCUCACCAAGGCAACGAUGCAUAGCCGACCUGAGAGGGUGAUCGGCCACAUUGGGACUGAGACACGGCCCAAACUCCUACGGGAGGCAGCAGUAGGGAAUCUUCGGCAAUGGACGCAAGUCUGACCGAGCAACGCCGCGUGAGUGAAGAAGGUUUUCGGAUCGUAAAACUCUGUUGUUAGAGAAGAACAAGGAUGAGAGUAGAAUGUUCAUCCCUUGACGGUAUCUAACCAGAAAGCCACGGCUAACUACGUGCCAGCAGCCGCGGUAAUACGUAGGUGGCAAGCGUUGUCCGGAUUUAUUGGGCGUAAAGCGAGCGCAGGCGGUUUCUUAAGUCUGAUGUGAAAGCCCCCGGCUCAACCGGGGAGGGUCAUUGGAAACUGGGAAACUUGAGGCAGAAG